AAUCUUGCGCAAUGGGUGAAAGCCUGACGCAGCCAUGCCGCGUGAAUGAUGAAGGUCUUAGGAUUGUAAAAUUCUUUCACCGGGUACGAUAAUGACGGUACCUGGAGAAGAAGCCCCGGCUAACUUCCUGCCAGCAGCCGCGGUAAUACGAAGGGGGCUAGCGUUGCUCGGAAUUACUGGGCGUAAAGGGCGCGUAGGCGGAUCGUUAAGUCAGAGGUGAAAUCCCAGGGCUCAACCCUGGAACUGCCUUUGAUACUGGCGAUCUUGAGUAUGGGAGAGGUAUGUGGAACUCCGAGUGUAGAGGUGAAAUUCGUAGAUAUUCGGAAGAACACAAGUGGCAAAGGCGACAUACUGGCUCAUUACUGACGCUGAGGCGCGAAAGCGUGGGGAGCAAACA
This 397-nucleotide ribosomal RNA is filed under the name uncultured bacterium. RNAcentral's name for it is "partial 16S ribosomal RNA". It matches the Rfam family "Bacterial small subunit ribosomal RNA", at positions 360 to 774 of the family's 1533-position model. The record is from RNAcentral.